UGCAUUUCUUUAGGUCCCUUGUUUGGUGAAAGACAGCCUUCUCGAAUAAUACUAUUUUGCAGCAAGAUUUAGCUUUCUGUGACAAGGAAACCAAUAUGGGAGAGGUGGUGGGGCGGAUGUCUGGUGACACUGUUCUUGUACAAGACGCAAUGGGGGAGUAGGUAGGGAAAUUUGUACCGCUGAUAUUAACAUGCCUUGCGGGCUUUGUCAUUGCAUUUACCAAAGGCUGGCUUCUCACAGUUGUUAUGUUAUCCAUCAUUCCUCUACUUGUCAUCUUUGGUGGAGUGAUGUCCCUCAUCCUAUCUAGGAUGGUGCCCCGUGGACAAGAUGCUUAUGCCAAGGCAGCAAGACAAUAGGCUCCUUUAAAAUGAAAAUAACCACCAGUAGAUGAGAUUGAUCUUGUUUCCUCGUCAGGCUGCAUCUUUUACAGGGGAGAAGCAAGUUGUGGCCAGCUAUAACGAGUCCCUAAUUAAAGAUUACCAUUCAGGGUCAAAUGAAGGGCUGUUAAGUGGAUUAGGUCUUGGGUCACAUUUUGCUAUUAUGUACUCCAGCUAUGCUUUGGCUAUCUGGUACGGUGCAAGGUUCAUCUUGGAAAAAGAUAUAUUGGUGGUCAAGUUCUCUAUGUUUCUGACACGAAGCUUCUCCAAUAAGUAGCAAGCAAUUUACUUUUUAAGGUUGAAGCCAAAGGAACUUUCUGUUUAGACGGCUUUUGCUGCAGGAUGUAGAACUCCCAAAAAGUGGAAAAGCGUAGGAGGAAUGGGGGCUGUUAGGCUUGUUUUCAAUUUGAAGCUGAAGUGCCAGAAAGCAAUACUACAAGAAAGGCUCUAUGCCUAUUCCUAACUUCUGAUGUAACUGCUUAAAAGUUGAAACUGAAGAAAGUUGAAGAGCUGUGAAACCCCUAUUCUUCACGGUUCAGAUCGUUUACUUAUGUACUGGAACAUUUGGAGAAGAGAGUGUGAAGGUGACAUGCAAGAAGGAAGAAAAAGAAUAAAACUGGAAAUAAACCUCUGUUCUCUUUCGGUUUGAUAGUGAGAUUUCAUUUAGUUUGUACCAUAGUACUAUGUUUUUUUUAAAAAAAAUGAGAACACACAAAGGUUUCAUUAGCACUCCCUAAAUCAGCACCACUUUUUUAAGGGUCACCAAUUAGUUUGCUCUAUGCUAUCUUUGUUUAUCUCGUUAAAUAUAUACUGACGUGAAAGGAAGUAUUAUGUUGUGCUUGAUUGGUGGAACAUCACAACUGAUAUCUUCUUCUCAGUUGAGAAAAACUUGGUCCAUAUAGUUGUGCUUCUUAUGCAACCAAUGUUCUAAAUGAAACUUACAAGAUGACUGAUUUAUUGCUCCAACAUAGUGCUUUUAUUUUACUCUUUUAAAAUUUUCAUUCUUUUAAAGUGCAUUUCCGUU
Long non-coding RNA from Solanum dulcamara, 1401 nucleotides. RefSeq lists it as uncharacterized. The transcript has 5 exons. NCBI's taxonomy places the organism in Eukaryota, Viridiplantae, Streptophyta, Magnoliopsida, Solanales, Solanaceae. The record is from RefSeq and is a predicted model, not a curated record.